CUUAACCGCAAGGUUUCUUCUGUAGGUCCGGAUGAUGGCACAGGCAUUAAACAGCACAGAGCUCGUCGCUGGGGAGAGGCUGUGCAUUGUGUAUGAAGGGAGAGAUGGAGGAGGGGUUUGAACAGCGUUGUGCAGGAAUGGAAUGCUGGUUACUGCCCUUCAAAGUGCUCUGUGGAUUGGCAUCACGAUGACAACCCAAGGAUGGCAGCAGGAGAUGCAGCACAGCCCUCUCCGGCAGCAGCGUGCAUUGAUUCAUCUUGCUAAUUCUCAAAGGAGAAGGCAGCUGAAUGGGCAGCGUUACUGCAGCUUCUCUGGCAGUCUUGCAGCUACGUCAGGAAGUAGCAGAUGUGGAUUUGAAAGAAGAACUCAGUUCCUGGGACGUUCCCCUGUUCUUCCCCUAGCUGUCCCCUUGCCCCAGCCCAGAUUCCCCUUGCAUUCCUGUAGGUGUCCCUUCCAUCCCCCCUGGCUGCCCCUUGCUUUCCCCAAAAUAACCCAUUACCUUUCCAUUACAGC
This is a non-coding RNA of Phasianus colchicus (ring-necked pheasant), 513 nucleotides long. The record is from RefSeq and is a predicted model, not a curated record. Lineage: Eukaryota; Metazoa; Chordata; Aves; Galliformes; Phasianidae.